Pocillopora damicornis (cauliflower coral) is the source of this 117-nucleotide long non-coding RNA. NCBI's taxonomy places the organism in Eukaryota, Metazoa, Cnidaria, Anthozoa, Scleractinia, Pocilloporidae. The record is from RefSeq and is a predicted model, not a curated record.
UAGCCUCUUCGCGUUAUUCGCAGUCCUCUUUACAGAAGUUUUCUCUGGCCAAAACAAUUUUCAACCCACACUCUUAGUAUCAAGCACGUUCGGCUCCAAUAAAUCUUUUUCUUUUUA